RNAcentral lists this ribosomal RNA (1122 nucleotides) under Triticum aestivum (bread wheat). Its description in RNAcentral is "partial small subunit ribosomal RNA". The record is from RNAcentral. Lineage: Eukaryota; Viridiplantae; Streptophyta; Magnoliopsida; Poales; Poaceae.
AUGAAUAUCCUAGUUUGGAACUGCCGAGGGGGGGGGGGACCGCGGAUAGUUCGUGAGGUGUUGGUGGCCCUCUCUAAAGCCAAUUCCCCGGGGCUUGUUUUUCUCUCGGAAACAAGACAGGCCUCUUCGAAGAUGGAGAAACUAAAGUGGAGAUUGCAGAUGAAGGGUUUUGCUGGUGUCUCGAGUGAUGGUCUCAGUGGAGGACUUGCGCUCUUUUGGGAUGAGAAGUUGCAAGUGACAGUGUUGGAUUCCUGUGCACGGUACAUUGACGUGCGGAUUGUUGAUGUGGCAAGUGACAAGACUUGGAGAACGACGUUUGUUUAUGGUGAACCUCGGGUUGAAAACCGUCAUCUCAUGUGGAGUUCACUCUCCCAGCUCCGUGCGCUCUCUUCGGAGCCGUGGUUAGUGUGUGGCGACUUCAACGAGGCGAUGUGGCAGCAUGAGCAUAUGUCUAGAUCCCAGCGCUCUGAAAAUCAGAUGGGGCUGUUCCGGGACUGUUUGUUGACUUGCGAAUUGUGGGACCUCGGUUUCUCGGGGUACCCUUUUACAUAUGAUAAUGGGCAGCUUGGUGAGAGGAACGUGCGAGUUCGCCUUGACCGAGCAUGUGCGGAUGAGAGUUGGAGGGAGCUUUUCCCGACCGCGCAAGUUGUUCACCUGGCAUCUUCAUGUUCUGACCACUGCCCGAUCUUUGUUCAGCUUGUUCUCGUGGACCCGAGGAGGACUAGAGCCUCUCCUCGGUAUGAGAUUAUGUGGGAACGCCAGCCGACGCUAUCAGAGGUGGUGGCGAGUAGAUGGAGGAAGAGUAAACCAGCCGGCAAUUUGGCGGCCGUGCGGGACGCCCUGCAUGAGAUGAUGAAUGGCCUUCGGGCGUGGAGUAAGGAGAACUUCGGUCAUGUUGCUACAGAAUUGGAGAAGUUAAGGGCCGAGCUGGCUGAUUUACAACUAAAAGAUGCAGACAGAACGUUGAUCCGUCAGAAGAUGUUUCAGCUUGAUGAGCUGCUUUACAGGGAAGAGAUGAUGUGGUUACAGAGAUCGCGCAUUACGUGGCUGAAGGAAGGAGAAAGGAACACGACAUACUUGCAUAGGCGCGCCUUGUGGCGUGCGCGAAGGAAUCACAUAUAG